Molecule: ribosomal RNA, 670 nt
Filed under: Microbacterium aurantiacum
Lineage: Bacteria; Bacillati; Actinomycetota; Actinomycetes; Micrococcales; Microbacteriaceae
Description: bacterial SSU rRNA
Rfam family: Bacterial small subunit ribosomal RNA
Source: RNAcentral
ACGGUGAAGCCAAGCUUGCUUGGUGGAUCAGUGGCGAACGGGUGAGUAACACGUGAGCAACCUGCCCUGAACUCUGGGAUAAGCGCUGGAAACGGCGUCUAAUACUGGAUAUGAGCUGCGGAGGCAUCUUCGUGGUUGGAAAGAUUUUUCGGUUUGGGAUGGGCUCGCGGCCUAUCAGCUUGUUGGUGAGGUAAUGGCUCACCAAGGCGUCGACGGGUAGCCGGCCUGAGAGGGUGACCGGCCACACUGGGACUGAGACACGGCCCAGACUCCUACGGGAGGCAGCAGUGGGGAAUAUUGCACAAUGGGCGGAAGCCUGAUGCAGCAACGCCGCGUGAGGGAUGACGGCCUUCGGGUUGUAAACCUCUUUUAGCAGGGAAGAAGCGUGAGUGACGGUACCUGCAGAAAAAGCGCCGGCUAACUACGUGCCAGCAGCCGCGGUAAUACGUAGGGCGCAAGCGUUAUCCGGAAUUAUUGGGCGUAAAGAGCUCGUAGGCGGUUUGUCGCGUCUGCUGUGAAAACCCGAGGCUCAACCUCGGGCCUGCAGUGGGUACGGGCAGACUAGAGUGCGGUAGGGGAGAUUGGAAUUCCUGGUGUAGCGGUGGAAUGCGCAGAUAUCAGGAGGAACACCGAUGGCGAAGGCAGAUCUCUGGGCCGUAACUGACGCUGA